CAAAAUUCAAAUUCACAAUAAUUUUGAUCUGCUCAAACGAAUUAAAUUUUAGAAUUUCAAAAUUCAAACGUAUAAUGUUCGAGUUUGAUGAACUGAUUGACUGUCCUGAAGAGUUUGUUGAGGAAACAUAUUCCGAGAGAUUUUGGGGCGCGUUAUCCACGUUACCGUACGCCGACCGAAUGUUGAAUGUGGCAGGAUCGAUUAAAAAACAUUUUACAGUUUCAGCCGCCUCACAGUAUUAUCGCGACAUCGGAUGGUGGACUAUAAGUACGGCCACGGUCUUAUUUUUACCAAUUUUCAUCGACAAGACGGUCCAGG
Metopolophium dirhodum (rose-grain aphid) is the source of this 318-nucleotide long non-coding RNA. RefSeq lists it as uncharacterized. The transcript has 3 exons. NCBI's taxonomy places the organism in Eukaryota, Metazoa, Arthropoda, Insecta, Hemiptera, Aphididae. The record is from RefSeq and is a predicted model, not a curated record.